GCUCAUUGAGCUGAGCAUCUUAAAGACACACUCACUGUCUUCUUGUUGUGGCUGGAAAAGACCCAAAGGUGCAGAGCAUUCCCAGCCAGGUCCAGCCUGCAGACAGACACACAGCAGAUGUGGACAGUGGAACCUCCUCAAGCAACAUCUCCAUACUUCAUCUGCUCAUGCCAGGGAGCAGAGGACAAGUGCUUUGUGCCACUAACUCUGAAGGAAGAGACAGGUCAAGCCUCGGAAGAGCUUCUUGGCUGCCGAGGCUCUGCAGCCACCCCUGCUGGCGACGCCUGUGCUGCACAGUGGGGAGCUGGGUCCUGAUUCUCAAAGUGAUGUCCUUGGCCCCAUGUGAAGACCCUUCCUGCAUAAGGCCCUGGUGUGGCUGGUGAGCCUCACGCCUGUGGAGCCGACAUGGCAAGUUCCCUGAGCUCAGCCUAAUGUUUGGCUGUGGG
Non-coding RNA from Peromyscus maniculatus bairdii (prairie deer mouse), 446 nucleotides. Lineage: Eukaryota; Metazoa; Chordata; Mammalia; Rodentia; Cricetidae. The record is from RefSeq and is a predicted model, not a curated record.